GCCAAAAAUGGGCCAAACCUUAGGGACUGGGAGAGCUUGAUUUUGUAAACAGUUCCUUGAAGUGCAAUGCAUUGUUUACACAAAUCCCUCCUGAAGGGUGAGAGAAGCUCUGAGUAUGACAGAGUGGGAGAGCAGCAAGCAUUGGACUUCCCCGUGCUGGCGCGACCUUGUGUGGCGUUCAUCCCUGAACGCUGCGGGCCGGGCAUCGGCUGCCCUCUGUGUGGCCCUUCCUCCUGUGAGAAGACUGCACUUGGAGCUCUCCCGAACUCUCCUGUGCGUGUAGGUUCCUUCCCUGCUGAUCCAUUGGCCACCAGAAGCACUUUACAAGAAAAGGACAAUAAACAUUCAAGGAAGCAUGAGGAAUUUCACUGCCUUCCAGCAAUUAAAUUGCAUUCAAGAAUUCUACAGUAGCCUUGGUGGUCUGCAACGACAUUUCAGGGAUUAGAUGCUCUAUCUCCUGUCUGCAGACACAUGAGCAGAACCCAGGAUGGAAGAAUGUAAUCACCAGCGUGACUCCAGUGAUGGAGAUGAACUAGAUGUGGAGACUGGGGAGCAGCAGAGUCAACUCAGUUAUCAUCUUGGCGGCCGGGCUGCCGUCCAGCUCACAGAAGCCACCUGAUCCGGAAAAGAUUUCCAAAGCCUGCUGGAGCUGUUUCCAUACAGGCAGAGGCCAGUGUCAUCUCCAGCACCUGGGGGACAUAAGAGAAAGAGCCAGUGGCCUCCAAGACAAUCUCAGGUGAAUACGCUUGACCCAGACGAGGGAAGGAUCACACAAACUCUCCGUUGAUUGUCUUCCCACUCACAGAACCAGGCAACAAAGAAGUCUGUGGCGUCCACAGGAGGGAAACAAAGCAAAACGAAGCGCCGACCAGUGCGGUACUAUUAAUUCAAAUUAAUGACCCUCACCUACAAAUAAAGCUGGUGCCUGGCAGGUCGCUGGCUCUUGGAGAGCUGCAAUGAGAACAAACGUGGCUUUGCCGUCUGGCCAGGCAAUCGAUGCCUCCUGCCUGUCCCUGGCCGCCCCGCACCCACCUCUUACAGAUGUUACCUGUCUCCUGUUAAUUCUCCCGUGUCACUCUCCACUUCCCCGGUGGGGGUGGGGGGGGGGCGGUCAAGGGUUGACCUGGAGGGUGGGCUUAUUUCAUAAGAAAGGCCGAUUGAAAGGGCCCAGAUGCAAAGUCACACUGCUCUGCUGAGCUGGGAGGACACCCCACUGAGAGACGUGUCUGAAAUGGGUGGAGGUCUCUGGGCAUCACUGGCAGGGGUGGGUGCCUGACUGUCAUUUAGGGACAUUUCUGCCUUGAUCUGUUGCUCUUAUUUAUCUCUGCCAAAAUAAAGAUGUGUUUGAUGAUAAAGACUUCUUUUAUUCAGCCUCUCAGUUAUUCCAGCACGGUAGUUAGAGAUGAAUACAACGUUGCCCUUAAGCUACAACCUGAUCUUCACAAAAACCCUUUGAAGAAG
RNAcentral lists this long non-coding RNA (1461 nucleotides) under Homo sapiens (human). RNAcentral's name for it is "HSALNT0183733". Lineage: Eukaryota; Metazoa; Chordata; Mammalia; Primates; Hominidae. The record is from RNAcentral.